UGCUUGGAUGUCAGCUGGCAGAGUGGUGAAGACGGCCAUCGUGAGAGUCCUUUCUUCAGGUGUGACGUCCACAACCUCCAAGAGGGAAGAGAUGGGCUCUGCCUCUGUAUUAGGGGUGAUGUCCACAAUAUUUAGGUGGAAAGAAGCCGGCUCUGCCUCUGUGUUAGGGGUUAUGUCCACAUUAUUCAGGUGGAAAGAAGCCGGCUCUGCCUCUGUGUUAGGGGUUAUGUCCACAACAUUCAGGUGGGAAGAAGCCGGAUCUGCCUCUGUAUUAAGGGUUAUGUCCACAACAUUCAGGUGGAGAGAAGCCGGAUCUGCCUCUGUGUUAGGGGUGAUGUCCACAACCUCCAGGUGGGAAGAAGCCGGGCCUGCCUCUGUUUUUGGGGUGAUGUCUUGAACCUCCAGGUGGGAAGAACCCGGAUCUGCCUCUGUAUUAAGGGUUAUGUCCACAACAUUCAGGUGGGAAGAAGCCGGAUCUGCCUCUGUAUUAAGGGUUAUGUCCACAACAUUCAGGUGGAGAGAAGCCGGAUCUGCCUCUGUAUUAAGGGUUAUGUCCACAACAUUCAGGUGGAGAGAAGCCGGGUCUUCCUCUGUGUUAGGGGUGAUGUUCACAACCUCCAGGUGGGAAGAUGCCGGGUCUGCCUCUGUUUUUGGGGUGAUGUCUUGAACUUCCAGGUGGGAACAACCCGGGUCUGCCUCUGUUUUUGGGGUGAUGUCCACAACCUCCAGGUGGGAACAAGCCGGGUCUGCGUCUGUUUUUGGGGUGAUGUCCACAACCUCCAGGUGGGAACAAGCCGGGUCUGCCUCUGUGUUAGGGGUGACUUUCACAAUCUCCAGGUGGAAAGAAGCCGGAUCUGCCUCUGUGUUAGUGGUGAUGUCCACAACAUUCAGGUGGGAAGACGCUGGGUCUGUGUCAUGGGUGACAACAACAAUCCUGAUGAGCUCUACUACUACUACACCAAGAUGUCAUCAGAACAGGCAUCUGUCAGAGUGCUCGCUAU
RNAcentral lists this long non-coding RNA (1001 nucleotides) under Salmo salar (Atlantic salmon). RNAcentral's name for it is "lncRNA (ENSSSAG00000120958.1)". The record is from RNAcentral. Lineage: Eukaryota; Metazoa; Chordata; Actinopteri; Salmoniformes; Salmonidae.